UAUUUUAUAAAAAAAUAAGAAUCAUACUUUGUUUACUCCCUUAUUCUAUCUUCGUAUUCCCUCUCCCAAGUUCACAAGGUUGAUAAUUGAUAUAUUCUAAGGGUAGCUAAUCCUUAAAAUAGUUAAAACAAGAAUAAACAAACAACCAAUAACGAUAAUCAAAUCAAACGAAAUCAAUUCAAAACAAUAGUACUCAUAUUCUUGGCUUUAACCCCAGAAAAAGGGUGUUUAGCCACACGUAGUCAUACUCAUAAUCACAAGGUUGUAAUACGUCCCAAGAUCUGAAAAAAAUGUGCACAAUAUUGUAUAUAUAACACAAAGUCAGUCCAAGCCGUGUAGGAGUCGAAUUCCAUCAAUUUGUGAGCAAGGGAGUAGAGGGGGCGCCGCCCUGAGUUGAGCCCCGCUCUAGGUGAGGUUGUGCCCUGGGUAAAGCGCCACUCUAGGUGAGGCUGCACCAUAUCUAUAUCUCAGCUCCAAGUGGGGUUCCGCGGGCUAAUCGCCUUGACCUUCUGGAAGUUGCUUCCACGGAUUUGAUUAAGUGUUGGUCCUCCAAUCUUUCAUCCCUUAACUUGUGGUGUAUUUUUCAUGGAUUUUCAGCCUUUUAAACAUCAAAAUAUCAUCAUAUUCAGCUCACAAAGCUUCCUACAUAAUCACAUCACAUGAAUUAGAGAUCAUAAAAAUACAAUAUUCAUGAUGAUGAAUCAAAAAUACAAGCUAAGACUAGGCUAAUUUGCAUUGAUCUUUAACUUUUUGUUCCGAAUCUUAACUUAAUCAAAUUGAACCUUGCACAUUACCAACAAGUUAUUCCACUCAUAAUUAUACAUUUAAAACCAUUUGGAACACAUUAAAUACAAUAGAAUUCAAUGGGAUCAACUAGACAAGAACCUAGCUCAAGCUAGUAACGCUAGUUUCCACUAUUGAACUCUAAAUGACUCAUUGAAGUAUAAACUUGUUUGAAAUUCACUUUGAACAUUGUAAACACAUGCUUUAACACUUAGAUUCACAUUUAUCUCAUUGUCAAACCAUAUAGCAUAUGAAUCAUCCUCAAAACAAGGCUAAAAAGACUAGAAUAGUAAGACUAAAAUGCAUAAAUACAUCCAACAUCACACCUCCCUAAUCUUUAGGAUGGUACCCAGACUGAAGAUCUAUCUUAGAAAAGAACUUGACACCUUGCAAUUGAUCAAAUAGAUCAUCUAUCCUUGAAAGAGAAUACUUGUUCUUGACCAUCACCUUAAUCAAAUGCCUAUAGUCAAUGAACAUCCAAAGGGAACCAUCUUUCUUGCGCACAAACAACACUGGUGUACCCCAAGGAGAUACACUAGGAUGAAUAAACCCCUUAUCCAGAAGAUCCUUAAGUUGCUCCUUGAGUUCCCUCAACUCCGCCGGAGCCAUUCUAUAUGGAGGAAUAGAAAUUGGACGAGUGUCCGUAAUUAGAUUAAUACCAAACUCUAUUUCCCUAUCCAGAAGAACACUAGGAAGAUAAUCCAGAAAGACCUCUGAAAACUCAUUAAUCAGUGGAACUGACUUAAAAGAAGGACCUUUAGAGUUAGAAUCUUUAACCCAGAAUAAGUGAUAAAGAUACCUUUUAGAGAUUAACCUCCGAGCUCUAAGAUAAGAAAUAAACCUCCCCUAGGGGCUAAAGAAACACCCUCCCAUUCUAUAACCUGCUCACCAAGGAACCUAAAGACAACCCUACGGGUUCGACAAUCCAAAGACGCGUAACAAGAGUGUAGCCAGUCCAUAUCCAAAAUAAUAUCAAAAUUCACCAUAUCCAACUUAAAUAGAUCCACCAAGGUCUACUUGCCACAAACAGAUACCACACCCCCUAUAGACUCUCCUAGCAAUAACUGAGUCACCUACUAGGAUAGAAAUAGAAAAAGGAUCCAAAAUAACUUCCUGAUCAAAACCAAAAUAUACAAACACAUAAGGAGUCAUAUAAGAGAGAGUAGACCCCGGAUUAAGAAAAUAAUAUACGUCACGUGAGAAAAUUUGUAACAUACCACUAGCUACAUCAGGUGAUGCCUCAGAUUCCUGUCGGGACGCCAAAGCAUACAACCUGUUUCGGACAACACUAAAACCAAGAGUAGUAACAGAAACAGAUGCAACACCACCAGGUAUAGGAGCAAAAGAUGAAGCCACAGGAAUCUCAUUCAUCCCUGUAGCAACCUUAUUAAUUGGAUAAUCCCUGAGCCGAUUUCCUGUCUGGCCAUACUUAAAGCAUUUGUCCUUUCCUUUAUCACAAUAACCUCGAUAAGGACGACCACAAAACCAACAAGAAGGGUAUAAAGAAACUGACUGACCUUCGCUUCCUGAGGUUGGACAACCUGCGCCCGAAAAUUAUCACCACUAUGAUGACGUCUGUCGCCCGACUAGUAAGGUGCACUAACAGUAGAGUAGGAACCAGAAUUCCUUUACUUUUUUUUGCUAUUUGCCACCAUUUCGACCACCCUGUGAUUAGAAAAUCUGCUCCUCUUACCCUGCCUAUCCCCAAACUCUACCUGCUUCCUCUUUUCAUCAUCUACUUGCUGUAUAUGAACAAUCAUCCUAGAGAUGUCUGUAUCCUUAAUUAGUAAGGCAGUCUUACUCUCCAAAAUCAGAUCCUGAUUCAACCCAGAAGUGAACUUCCUCAUUGUAUCCCAUAUAUCAGCCACCAAAUAAGGAGCAUAACUUUACAAUUGGUGAAAGUUCAAGGCAUAUUCCUUGAUAGAAAUUCUCCCCUACUUGAGGUUCACAAACCCCUCCAUCUUUGCUUCCCUCAACUCUUGGGGAAAGAAGCGAUCAAGAAAAAUACCAAAGAAGGUAUCCCACAAGGAUGACUCCUCCACAUCUUCUCUAUCCCUAUCCCACUCUUCAUACCACUAUAUGCAACAUCUUUAAGCUGAUAAGCUAUAAAGUGUACCCCCUCCACAUUGGUAGCCUGCAUCACCCAAAAUAUCUUCUCCAUCUCAUCCAAGAAGCCCUGUGGAUUCUCCUCCACCUUUACUCUGAAAAAAGUGAGAGGGCCCAUCUUCAUAAAUUGUCCAACCCUUGUGACACAACAGACAAAAAAACAGACAUAUCUCGCUCAGCCUGAGCAACAACCAGUUUUGCAAUAGUGUAAACAGACUGGUGGAAUUCUGCAUUAGUCACCUCGCCUGGAGAAAAGCUAGUAGCAACUGGUGAAACUCCAAAACUAUUAGGGAUAAGAUAGUGCGAUCGAAGAUGAACCCCAGAAGUAGGAUGUAUUGUAUUUCAGAUCUAUGAGGUAUGAUCUGAAAGACGAACAAACAAGAAUUAGAGAAGAUUCCAAGGCUGAGAUUCCAAGCUUAAAAAUAGAAUACCAAGAAAGAGAAACAUUCCUAAAUGCCUUGUAGCCUCUCCCUCAUGUGUGUGGUGUGCUACACACCCCUAAAAGAAACUCUACUUAACACGGCUUUGUGGACUCCCAAUUGUCCAUGAACCUAGGCUCUGAUACAAACUUAACAUGAACCACCCUAGGGCCUUGUUAUAAUGGGCAUCCCAAGUUCGAGCAUGUAACAAAAUAGUGUAACAAUCAACAUAAAGACUCUGGAAAUAGAUCACAACCGUGACCAACCUAACUGAGUCUAAUCAUUCCAUAACCAAAAAUCCAACCAUGACAAACCAUACCAAACAAGGGCCAUAAACCAGGCCAUAACCAAAGACGUUCUCAAACAUAAUAUAAUUAAUCCCAAAAUGAAAUUAAACGGAACAGUGAGAAAUUAGGUCCGAUGAUGCCAGCCUCCCAGCCUAUUCCAAUGUCAAGGGUGACACCUAUACCAAUCCCGCUCAUUCCAACCCAUUGAAGUACCAUAAAGUAUCUAACCAAAAGAGUAAUAAAAUCUAGUUGGGACAUACCCUCCACCAUAGCCAAAACUAAUAUCCAAAAUAAAACCAAAAUAUCUAGAAAUAUCCAUAGCAUGAAAUGGAGCCUUUCGAAAGGAUGGAAGCUCAUCACUUCAGUCCAAAUGCUGUUCCCGAGUCAAUUACUAUGUAGGAGGAGUAGAACGACCGAUUCCUGCAUAGCGUGAGUAUACAGCCGCCAAUAGACGGGGUUAGUGAGUGACAGCUAGCAUGAUCUCAGGGUUAGGAUAAAAUAAUGUCAUUUAUAAAAUCAAGUAAAACUAUACAUAUGCACACAAACAAACAUAUAUAUAUAUAUAUAUAUAUAUAUAACCAUGUCGGGAAAAGGAAACAGGUUUGGACUUCUUGAAAUUUUCGAACACCUUUUGAAUGAAGAUCCUCUCUAGAUUACAAUAAAUAAACUACGAAAUAAAAUUCUCAAACCUAAGGGACAAUGGUUCAUACAAUCCGACAUUACAUCCUUCAAUUAAAUACACAAGAGACGAUCGUGUGUGAUUGGCUCGUAGUCAAUACAAGCAAGGUUGGUUUUCUAUUGGAUCCAAUACCCCCUUAGGUAUUGAGUCUUCCUAGGCACAUGCCUAAAAAGGAUUUUGAUUUCGCUCUAUCCUAGGUAUCUAGAGGGGGCUUUAACCAGGUUUCAAAUGCACAACUCGAGUUUGAAAAUACAAACAGUCAUUAAACGCCCAAUGUACCAACAAACUACUGUAUUUUUAAUACUUUAUUUGAAGUUGAUAAAUAGGGGCCACGACAAUCGCAAAUCCCCAAAUAAUUUAAAUAUUCAAGGAGAAAGUAUGCCAUGAAAUACAACAAUUUCAAUUUUACGUAAAUUUAAACACAUAAGCAAACAAACAAUAUCAGUAUUACAAACCUGAAUAGUCAGUCAAAAAAAAAUAGUUAUUUCAAAUAUUUGGUUAGAACCUUACUAAAUUCCCCAACAGAGUUGUCAUUUCUGUUUUUAUCUAUUUUUGGUUUUUAUUUAAGAGAAAAUGAUUUUGACCUUUUCCAAACUAUGUAAAAAAAUCAAGACUAUUUCGAAAUAAUUUUAACAAAAUUACAGAGUAGACACUUGAUUUUUAUUGAGAAUAUCAAGAAAACUUUAAAAAGUUUCAAAGAUUUAAAAUAAAAAUAAAUAUUGAAAUAAGAGAAACUAAGUAAUGAUUCAGUUAACACACUAAGAAGGUUUUGAAGGAACUUAGGACGUUCGUUUGAAAAAACGAUUUACGAAAUAAUUUUUGACUAACUUAAAAAUGACUAAUUUUGUAAACACUCGAUUCUAUAUAAGAUAUCAAAAUUAUUAACCUAAAAUGACACUUGUUCAUCCAAAUGAAAAUAUUCCUUUGAAUUAAAGAAUGAUCCGAUUAAAUUAAAUUGCAUAUUUUUAAAUUUAAGAGGAAAAUAAAUUUGUACUUUUAUGGGAAGAGUGGAUUAUGUAAUUAUUUUUUUGUUAUCAUUGUUGUUAUUAUUAUUUUUUAUGAAAGUCAAUUUUGGUCUAAUAUCUUUAGAAAAUGAUGUCAAGAGUGUAUCAAACUACGAGUGAUUAAUUAAUUAUGAAAGUUAGAAUUUUCAAGAAAAAUUAGUUUCUUAGGUUUGAAGAAAAUUGCCUUAAUCCAAAUAGACUAUUAGUCCUAUGAAUAAAAUAAAUGUCAUGUUGGUAUGAAACACUAAAUUUUAGAAGAUUUGUUUGUUAGGGAGAAUAACUGAAGCAACAAAUGUGAUUCAUUUUAGAUGACACAAACCAAGUGAGAAGAAAUACGAAUUUAGUAAGAAAAUCAAGAUAAAAUAGAAUGGAAAUGCCUUAGAAGAUUUAUCUAGAUUAAUCAUUUAAUACAAAUAGUUAAGAUAAAUUACAAAAAUAAAGAAGGGUUGAGAAAUUUGGCUUUCAGGCCCAUUUUUUUUUAUGGAAAAAGGACAAAAAUAACACCUGAAACUAAAAUAAUUUCACGAAAAUAGCACCUAAAACUAAGAGCUCGGUAAAUAGUCACUCCCAUAUGCUUAACUACAUAUAACCAGAAAUGCGCCCAAAUCAAUAUAUAACUUUACCUUUCUUUCUUUCCUUUUCAUGCCCAAUUUCCUUUUAAUUCAAACUCCUAAUUCUCCGUUUCAUUACCUUUUCUAAUACUCAUCUUUACCCUUUUCAUUCCACAAACUUUUGUAUAAAUCUCUUAGAAUUUGCAUUCAAUUAGUUUCAUAUAGUUUUUCACCUAUAAAUGAUAAAUCAUCCUCAAUAAAUUCAUAAAUAGAUAAAGGAUCGUCUUUCACCACUUUCGUGCUUGUUUUUUCAUUUGAUGGACCCGAUUUUUUUCACUAUUUUCAACAAAAAUCUCAAUAUCAAAUAGAGAAUUUUGAAGCAAGGUAAGGAUUUUUAGGUAGGUUAUACGGUAGAAAAGUGUAACAAAAGAAGAUUUGUUGAUAUCAAACUACGGAGUAAAAAUAUACUCCCCGUGUGUAUCUUUUUUUUUAAUUGUUAUUUGUCUUAGCUGGGCAGUUAAUAGAAAAUAGCUAUUUAUGCUUGCACAUACUGUAUCAAUGUGGUAUAAAAGUGUAUCGAUCUAGUAUAAAAGAGUAUCAAUUGGAUAUAUGUUACUGUAUAUGCUUGCACAUACUGUAUCAAUAUGGUAUAAAAAUAUAUCAAUUGGAUAUAUAAACACUGCAUAUGCAUGCAUAGAUUCUCCUUCUAUCUUGUUAUAAAAGUGUAUCAAUAGGGUAUAAAAGAGUAUCAAUUGGGUAUAGGAUCCCCUAUUUCUUUUUUAAAAAGUGUAUCAAUGUAGUAUAAAAGUGUAUCAAUUGGGUAUAGAAAUUGCACGUGGCUGACUGGGCCAAUGGCUAAAAGAGGGAAAUAAAUUGGACCGAUCGGCUCCAGUUGUCCAUAUUUUCAAAUUGUGGGCCAUUUUUUUAAAAAUGGUCGGCCCAUGUCCUUCUGUUCAGCUUUGGGCUGCAAAUAUUAUAGAUCUUGAGUCCAUUUUACCCAUGGUAUAUCAACUGUAUAUCACAAAUUUGUUUUGAUGUGUUUCCUAUAUAUACGUUGUAUAUCAGUGUAUAAGGACCUGUAUACUUGCUUCCAAUGUUGUUAUGCACCAAAUAUUAGUGCAUACCAGCCAUCUUUGAUAUGUAAAUCCUAUAUAUUUGUUGUAUAUCAAUGUAUAUCAGCCUUGUAUCAAUCCAUUUUCUUCAUGUAUUAGUCCAUUUUGGACUUUGAUGGGGCUUGAAUCGAUGAAUAAUGAAUGUGAAAAAUGGGAUUCCGAUGGACUCGGUGAGAAAGGUCAUGCAUAAAAGGGAUAGGAACGAAUUAGGAGGAAAUAUUUAUAAACUUAACCACAUACAUACUACAUAACCACCUUUCAAAUGAAAUACCAAUAAUUUAAACAAGAUAAUUACAUUUAUAAUGAAGUUUAAGAAUGGAAGAAAAUUCUGCAUCACAUAGGGCACCAAAGGAAUAGCAUAAAGAACGAGUAUAACAAUGUCCCAAUAUCAACAUGAUUAAAGUUGUAUAAGUAGUCCACCACGGAAAAACUAUAAUUGUUUAAGGAGCAUAACAGCAAUUGAAACUGCUCCAAUAUUGAAAGUAGAACUCUUCAUAAUUUUCUAUUUUUUUUUUUUUUAGAAAAAACUCAAAGACGGUUACGCAUAGAAAUUGAUAAAGAAGUAUAUAAUCUUCAACUCCCUCCAUCCCAUUUUACUCGUCCUAAAUUUUCUAAUUUGAUAUCCCAUUUUACUUAUUAAGACAAUGACAAUUUUUUUUUCAUUAUACCAUCAUUAUUUUUUUAAUAGCUGUGUCAUCUCAAUUUGGAACGGGACGGAGGGUGUAAUUGAUAAGAAAUUCAACUCUAGAUAUAAAACAAACCAACAAUUUAUUUUAAUCUUUUGAUAGGUAAAGCUACUGGAACAAAAUAAACAAAAAUCAACAAGUUGUUUAAUCCAUGUUCGGCCACCUUUUGUAUAAAUAAAUAAAUUAAAUUUAAUCUAUGGAAAAAAUCGAAUAAAAAAAUCACGGAACUAACUAAAUUUCAAACUGCCUAACACCAAAAUAUGAACAAACAAAAUAAGGAAGGGGAUUUACCUUUUUUUCGGGCAGCAGAUGAGAUAAACGAGCUUUAAAUGAACCAAAUUUUAUCAAAAUUUCAAUCCCGAAUCGUUGAAGUUUUACCUUUCUUUUUUUGUCGGAAUUAACUUUACAAGUGCGUUUCUUCUCGAAUUCUUCGAUUACGUGAAAUUAGAGAAUCGCUCCUCCUGAAUUCUCACUUUAUUCCCAAAGAAUUCUCUCUUUUCAACCUCUAUCCCUCAAUGUCUAUUAAUAGGAAAAAUUUGGGAGGAAAAAUUAAGAUUUUGAAUUUGAAAAAAUGAAUUUCAAAUCCGAAUUUUGGAAUCCAAGGUGAGACAAAGACCAUUUAUGGCCUUUUGUACACGAAAAAUGUGGAGAAAUAAAUGUUGCCUCUGUUAUUCAAAAAUGAGAGUUUAUAGUUUGCCAAAAUGGUGAGCAUAGAUUGAAGAUAAUGAAAGAAUUUGAUUUUUUAGCCGCUAUACAUGAGGGUAAAUCAGUAAAUGGAAGGGGUGGUAGGGUUUUUGGGAUUGAUGCCAUUUUUAUUGUUGUUUACUGGUUGUUGACUGUUGUGCCGUGUAGAGAAAAUAAGAUGAAGGGGGAAAAGGAA
Molecule: long non-coding RNA, 8507 nt
Filed under: Capsicum annuum
Lineage: Eukaryota; Viridiplantae; Streptophyta; Magnoliopsida; Solanales; Solanaceae
Description: long non-coding RNA (CANN_LNC002991)
Source: RNAcentral